GACGAACGCUGGCGGCGUGCUUAACACAUGCAAGUCGAACGAUGAAGCCGGAGCUUGCUCCGGUGGAUUAGUGGCGAACGGGUGAGUAACACGUGAGCAAUCUGCCCUUGACUCUGGGAUAACUGCGGGAAACUGUAGCUGAUACCGGAUACGACACCUUGGGGCAUCCUAGGGUGUGGAAAGAAUUUCGGUCAAGGAUGAGCUCGCGGCCUAUCAGCUACUUGGUGAGGUAAUGGCUCACCAAGGCGACGCCGGGUAGCCGGCCUGAGAGGGUGACCGGCCACACUGGAACUGAGACACGGUCCAGACUCCUACGGGAGGCAGCAGUGGGGAAUAUUGCACAAUGGGCGAAAGCCUGAUGCAGCAACGCCGCGUGAGGGAUGAAGGCCUUCGGGUUGUAAACCUCUUUUAGCAGGGAAGAAGCGAAAGUGACGGUACCUGCAGAAAAAGCACCGGCUAACUACGUGCCAGCCGCCGCCGUAA
This 483-nucleotide ribosomal RNA is filed under the name uncultured bacterium. RNAcentral's name for it is "partial 16S ribosomal RNA". It matches the Rfam family "Bacterial small subunit ribosomal RNA", at positions 28 to 523 of the family's 1533-position model. The record is from RNAcentral.